MicroRNA precursor from Pan troglodytes (chimpanzee), 98 nucleotides. It matches the Rfam family "mir-544 microRNA precursor family". The record is from Rfam. NCBI's taxonomy places the organism in Eukaryota, Metazoa, Chordata, Mammalia, Primates, Hominidae.
AUCACAUAGGGAUCUUAUUACAAUGCAGAUUCUGAUUCAGCAGGAUUGAAGUGGGGCCCAGGAUUCUGAAUUUUUAGCAAGCUCCCAGGUGAUGUGGA